GACGGAGGAUGCAAGCGUUAUCCGGAAUUAUUGGGCGUAAAGCGUCCGCAGGUGGACAUACAAGUCUGCUGUCAAAGUGCAGAGCUUAACUCUGUAAAGGCGGUGGAAACUGUAGGUCUUGAGUAUGGUAGGGGUAGAGGGAAUUCCCGGUGUAGCGGUGAAAUGCGUAGAUAUCGGGAAGAACACCAGUGGCGAAGGCAGCUCGCUGGGACGUGACUGACGCUGAGACGCGAAAGCGUGGGGAGCAAACAGG
Molecule: ribosomal RNA, 253 nt
Filed under: uncultured bacterium
Lineage: Bacteria
Description: partial 16S ribosomal RNA
Rfam family: Bacterial small subunit ribosomal RNA
Source: RNAcentral